CCUCAGGUUUGGUGACGGUGAUGUGAGUCACUGAGCAAACGUUUUCCAGCUCCUCGAACUUUCUUUUUACCGAUCCGAGGGUGAUUUUGUUUAGCCCUCCACCUGUUAUCACCAGUGCUUUUGGGAAAUUCUCCCAUGAGCCAUUCAGGUGGGCGUUGAAAUGCCUCAUGAGCGCUCCCUCGUCUGACCCCGGGGAUGGGAGCGGAAUUUCAGGUGCGGAGAUGGCAAGCGCCUGAGGGGCGAUGCCUCUGUUUUCCUGCUCAGGAACAUCAAUGGCCAUUGCGACCUCUUGAGGCUCCCGCCUUGGUUGUUGUUGUUGUUGUUGUGCUUGUUCGUCG
This 338-nucleotide long non-coding RNA is filed under the name Trifolium pratense (red clover). RNAcentral's name for it is "long non-coding RNA (TPRA_LNC007902)". Lineage: Eukaryota; Viridiplantae; Streptophyta; Magnoliopsida; Fabales; Fabaceae. The record is from RNAcentral.